UACGUAGGGUGCGAGCGUUAAUCGGAAUUACUGGGCGUAAAGCGUGCGCAGGCGGUUCGUUGUGUCCGUCGUGAAAGCCCCGGGCUCAACCUGGGAAUGGCGAUGGAUACUGGCUCGCUAGAGUGCGGUAGAGGGUGGUGGAAUUCCCGGUGUAGCAGUGAAAUGCGUAGAGAUCGGGAGGAACAUCAGUUGCGAAGGCGGCCACCUGGACCAGCACUGACACUGAGGCACGAAAGCGUGGGGAGCAAACAGG
RNAcentral lists this ribosomal RNA (253 nucleotides) under uncultured bacterium. RNAcentral's name for it is "partial 16S ribosomal RNA". It matches the Rfam family "Bacterial small subunit ribosomal RNA", at positions 524 to 776 of the family's 1533-position model. The record is from RNAcentral.